UGGGGAAUAUUGGACAAUGGGGGAAACCCUGAUCCAGCCAUGCCGCGUGGGUGAAGAAGGCCUUAGGGUUGUAAAGCCCUUUCACCGGGGAGGAUGAUGACGUUACCCGGAGAAGAAGCCCCGGCUAACUCCGUGCCAGCAGCCGCGGUAAUACGGAGGGGGCUAGCGUUGUUCGGAAUCACUGGGCGUAAAGCGCACGUAGGCGGUCCGCAUAGUCAGGCGUGAAAGCCCCGGGCUCAACCUGGGAACUGCGCUUGAUACUGGCGGGCUUGAGGUUGUGAGAGGAUGGCGGAAUUCCCAGUGUAGAGGUGAAAUUCGUAGAUAUUGGGAAGAACACCAGUGGCGAAGGCGGCCAUCUGGCGCAAUCCUGACGCUGAGGUGCGAAAGCGUGGGGAGCAAACA
This 402-nucleotide ribosomal RNA is filed under the name uncultured bacterium. RNAcentral describes it as "bacterial SSU rRNA". It matches the Rfam family "Bacterial small subunit ribosomal RNA", at positions 355 to 774 of the family's 1533-position model. The record is from RNAcentral.